This 305-nucleotide ribosomal RNA is filed under the name uncultured bacterium. RNAcentral's name for it is "bacterial SSU rRNA". It matches the Rfam family "Bacterial small subunit ribosomal RNA", at positions 337 to 640 of the family's 1533-position model. The record is from RNAcentral.
GCCUACGGGGCGCAGCAGUGAGGAAUAUUGGUCAAUGGUCGGGAGACUGAACCAGCCAAGCCGCGUGAGGGAUGAAGGUACAGAGUAUCGUAAACCUCUUUUGUCAGGGAACAAAGGCGGGGACGCGUCCUCGGAUGAGUGUACCUGAAGAAAAAGCAUCGGCUAACUCCGUGCCAGCAGCCGCGGUAAUACGGAGGAUGCGAGCGUUAUCCGGAUUUAUUGGGUUUAAAGGGUGCGCAGGCAGUCUGUUAAGUCAGCGGUCAAAGCCCGGGGCUCAACCCCGGCCCGCCGUUGAAACUGGCAGG